This 292-nucleotide ribosomal RNA is filed under the name uncultured bacterium. RNAcentral describes it as "partial 16S ribosomal RNA". It matches the Rfam family "Bacterial small subunit ribosomal RNA", at positions 505 to 796 of the family's 1533-position model. The record is from RNAcentral.
GUGCCAGCAGCCGCGGUAAUACGAAGGUCCCGAGCGUUAUCCGGAUUUAUUGGGUUUAAAGGGUGCGUAGGCGGGUUAUUAAGUCAGUGGUGAAAGCCUACAGCUUAACUGUAGAAUUGCCAUUGAUACUGAUGAUCUUGAGUAUGAUUGAGGUGGGCGGAAUGUGUCAUGUAGCGGUGAAAUGCUUAGAUAUGACACAGAACACCGAUUGCGAAGGCAGCUCACUAAGUCAUAACUGACGCUGAUGCACGAAAGCGUGGGGAGCAAACAGGAUUAGAUACCCUGGUAGUCC